CCUACGGGAGGCAGCAGUGGGGAAUUUUGCGCAAUGCUCGUAAGAGUGACGCAGCGACGCCGCGUGAAUGACGAAGGCCUUCGGGUCGUAAAGUUCUUUCGACAGGGAAGAAAAUGCCUAUAAGUAACUGUGUAUGUAUUGACGGUACCUGUAUAAGCAGCCCCGGCUAACUCCGUGCCAGCAGCCGCGGUAAUACGGAGGGGGCGAGCGUUGUUCGGAGGGACUGGGCGUAAAGAGCACGUAGGCGGUGUUGUAAGUCAUUAGUCAAAUAAUAGAGCUCAACUUUAGUAAGGCUAGUGAUACUAUAAUACUAGAGUAUCAGAGAGGAUUGCAGAAUGCCUGGUGUAGCGGUGAAAUGCGUAGAUAUCAGGAGGAAUACCGUUAGCGAAGGCGGCAAUCUGGCUGGAAACUGACGCUGAGGUGCGAAAGCGUGGGUAGCAAACAGGAUUAGAUACCCUUGUAGUC
RNAcentral lists this ribosomal RNA (465 nucleotides) under uncultured bacterium. Its description in RNAcentral is "partial 16S ribosomal RNA". It matches the Rfam family "Bacterial small subunit ribosomal RNA", at positions 338 to 795 of the family's 1533-position model. The record is from RNAcentral.